GACGAACGCUGGCGGCGUGCUUAACACAUGCAAGUCGAACGGAAAGGCCCUGCGCUUGUGGGGUGCUCGAGUGGCGCACAGGUGAGUGACACAUGAGUAUCCUGCCCUUGUCUGUGUGGGAACACCUGGGGACUGGGGAUCAUACCGGGUAUGAUCUACUGCUGCGUAGGGUGGGUUAGAAAUAUUCGGCGGUUGUGGAUGGACUCGCGGCUUAUCAGCUUGUUGGUGGGGUAGUGGCUUACGAAGGGUUUGAGGGGUAGCCCGCCUUGGAGGGUGAACGGCGUCAAGGCGACUGAGAGACGGCGCAGACGCCUACGGGAGGCAGUAGGGGGAAACAUUGCACAACGGGCGGAAGUCUGAUGUAGCAACGUCCCGUGCGUGAAGCUGGCUUUCUGGGUGUAAACAGCUUUGGACGGUGACGAAGCGGGCGUGACGGUAACGGGUAAAGAAGCACCGGCUAACUACGUG
RNAcentral lists this ribosomal RNA (468 nucleotides) under uncultured bacterium. RNAcentral's name for it is "partial 16S ribosomal RNA". It matches the Rfam family "Bacterial small subunit ribosomal RNA", at positions 28 to 507 of the family's 1533-position model. The record is from RNAcentral.